GUAGGAAUACCCGCUGAACUUAA
RNAcentral lists this ribosomal RNA (23 nucleotides) under Trichoderma atrobrunneum. RNAcentral describes it as "partial 28S ribosomal RNA". The record is from RNAcentral. Lineage: Eukaryota; Fungi; Ascomycota; Sordariomycetes; Hypocreales; Hypocreaceae. RNAcentral also lists the same sequence under 1 other name.